AGGCAGUAACAAAUGAGCAUUAGCAAAAAUAGAACAGAAAAUGCUUGACAGAUCUUGAAAAGGCAUAUCCAAUGACUUUCUUACAUUCAUCCAUGGCAGAUAUAAGAUUCCUGUGAGAUGCAGACAACAAACAUUUACUCUAUGUAAUCUAUGACAGAGUCAACUGUAGAAGACAAUCACAGAGCGAGGAAAGAGGAAUAUCUGAAGCUGAUAGACAAGAUCUUCAUCACCUGGAGAACCAGCCCGGUGGUUGACACUGGAAAAUUCACUGGGAUAAGAGGAAAUAAAACAUGAGCGGAAAAGAAAAUGGGGGCAAGAAAACAGGAGAAAAUUAUUCACUUUUUAAAAUGCAGUGCCAAUGAAGAAGUUAGCAAGAACAGUUAUUGUGGGAGAGGCUAACGUUGUCUCACAGCAGAUUCCACAGGCAGUGUGUGGAGUUUACAUUUACCUGAAGGCAGUUUCAAACUUGGAUACACUCAAUUUUUGAGCGAGGAGCUUUUUGACCUCAUCCCAGUCCAUGAGGGGGGCAGCACCUGUCUCG
Thunnus maccoyii (southern bluefin tuna) is the source of this 541-nucleotide long non-coding RNA. RefSeq lists it as uncharacterized. The transcript is spliced from 3 exons. The record is from RefSeq and is a predicted model, not a curated record. NCBI's taxonomy places the organism in Eukaryota, Metazoa, Chordata, Actinopteri, Scombriformes, Scombridae.